GUGCUUGCUUCAGCAGCACAUAAACUAAAAUUGGAAUGAUACAGAGAAGAUUAGCAUGGCCCCUGCACAAGGCUGACAUGCAAACUCAUGAAGCAUUCCAUAUUAAA
This 107-nucleotide small nuclear RNA is filed under the name Saimiri boliviensis boliviensis (Bolivian squirrel monkey). Lineage: Eukaryota; Metazoa; Chordata; Mammalia; Primates; Cebidae. The record is from RNAcentral.